Molecule: ribosomal RNA, 1304 nt
Filed under: Pinnaxodes major
Lineage: Eukaryota; Metazoa; Arthropoda; Malacostraca; Decapoda; Pinnotheridae
Description: 16S ribosomal RNA
Rfam family: Archaeal large subunit ribosomal RNA (bases 617-1304)
Source: RNAcentral
GUUUUAUAACUUGCUUAGGGAAAUUAUAAGUGUUUAUAAGAAAAAUAAUUUAAAUAAGAAUAAGUAAUUUUUAAUGAAAAUAAUUAUUAAGGCGAGAGAGGAGAAGUACUGUGAAGGAAAUAUAUUUUAUAAAGUUAUUUAGUAAAGGUAAAAUCUUGUAUCUUGUGUAUUAGAGAAAAUUAAUAUAAUUUAGUUAUUUAAGUAUCUCGAAAUAAAUACAGUUAAUUAGAAAUAAAAUUUUUUGUGGAAAAAAAAUUUUAAAUUUAUAGUUAAAGAUGAAACGUCAAUCGAGAUUUAUUAUAUCUGGUUUUUUGAAAAUAAAUUAAAUUUUUUCUUUAUACGAAGUAGAAUGUGUAAAGGUGAAUAGCAGGAGGGAUAAGCUUCUUGUAAUUUUUAGUUGGAAAGAGUUAAAUAUUAUUUUUUAAAGGUAAGUUAGGCUUAAAAGUAGCUUUAUUGAAAAAGUGUUUUAACUAAACUCAGUAUAAAAAAUUAUUUUUAUUAGCUUUUUGUAAUAUCAGAAAACUAAUUUUAUUGGGACUGGCUAGGGUAAAAUAAUUUUAUAAGUAGAAUUUAAUGUUUAAGAAGAGAGUUUAUUAAAAAGUUUAUUAAUUUAAUAAGGAAUUGAUAUAUCAAAGGAAUUCGGCAAAAUAUUUCUUUGCCUGUUUAUCAAAAACAUGUCUGCUUGGAGGUAUAAGGAGUCUAGCCUGCUCUCUGAUUAGUUUUAAGGGCCGCGGUAAUCUGACCGUGCAAAGGUAGCAUAAUAGUUAGUUUUUUAAUUGGAAUCUUGUAUGAAUGGUUGGACAAAAGAAAUACUGUCUCUGUAAUUAUUAUUGAAUUUAACUUUUAAGUGAAAAGGCUUAAAUUAUUUAAAAAGACGAUAAGACCCUAUAAAGCUUUAUAAGUAAGCUCUAUUUGAUUAAAUUAGUUAAUAAAAUUUUAAUAGUUUAGUUAUUUUGUUGGGGAGAUAAUAUUAUAAUUGAAAAUAACUGAAGAUAAUUGUUACAAAUAUAAAUGCUUAAAAAAUAAAAGAUCCUUUAUAAAGAUUAAAAGUUUAAGUUACUUUAGGGAUAACAGCGUUAUUCUCUUUGAGAGCUCAUAUCGAAAAGAGAGAUUGCGACCUCGAUGUUGAAUUAAAAUUUCUAAAUGAUUGCAGAAGUUAUUUUAGAGGGUCUGUUCGACCUUUAAAUUUUUACAUGAUUUGAGUUCAGACCGGCGUGAGCCAGGUUGGUUUCUAUCUUUUAAAAAAUAUUAGACUAUUUUAGUACGAAAGGAUUAAAUAGUUGAAUUUUAUUUUGGAAUGGAAG